CAGGCGUUUGAGGAUCAUUGCGUCGCCGAUGUCCGUCACCUGUGGGGUCAUGUUAGGUUAGGUUAAGUUAGGAUGUGUCAAAUAAUUAUAUAGGGUUUUUUAAGGGGUCACGUUAGGUUAGGUUAGGUUAGGGUGUGUCAAAUGAUUAUAUAUGGUUUUUUAAGGGUUUACAGAAGGUUAGGUUAGGUUAAAGUGUGUCAAAUAGGGUUUUUAAGAGUCUGUAGAAGGUUAGGUUAGGUUAGGCUGCUCUAAAACUUCAAAAUUCCAAAGACUACACACACACACACCUCACAAACCCUAAUGAACUUGAAAAAAAAAAAAAAAAGAUUCACAACACACACACACACACACACACACACACACACA
This is a long non-coding RNA of Scylla paramamosain (green mud crab), 366 nucleotides long. RefSeq lists it as uncharacterized. The record is from RefSeq and is a predicted model, not a curated record. Lineage: Eukaryota; Metazoa; Arthropoda; Malacostraca; Decapoda; Portunidae. The transcript is spliced from 2 exons.